This 468-nucleotide ribosomal RNA is filed under the name uncultured bacterium. RNAcentral describes it as "partial 16S ribosomal RNA". It matches the Rfam family "Bacterial small subunit ribosomal RNA", at positions 28 to 507 of the family's 1533-position model. The record is from RNAcentral.
GACGAACGCUGGCGGCGUGCUUAACACAUGCAAGUCGAACGGAAAGGCCCUGCUUUUGUGGGGUGCUCGAGUGGCGAACGGGUGAGUAACCCGUGAGUAACCUGCCCUUGACUUUGGGAUAACUUAAGGAAACUGGGGCUAAUACCGGCAAGGAGCUCCUGCUGCAUGGUGGGGGUUGGAAAGUUUCGGCGGUUGGGGAUGGACUCGCGGCUUAUCAGCUUGUUGGUGGGGUAGUGGCUUACCAAGGCCUUGACGGGUAGCCGGCCUGCGAGGGUGACCUGCCAAAUUGGGACUGAGAUACGACCCAGACUCCUACGGGAGGCAGCAGUGGAGAAUAUUGCACAAUGGGCGGAAGCCUGAUGCAGCAACGCCGCGUGCGGGAUGACGGCCUUCGGGUUGGAAACCGCUUUCGCCUGUGACGAAGCGUGAGUGACGGUAAUGGGUAAAGAAGCACCGGCUAACUACGUG